RNAcentral lists this long non-coding RNA (940 nucleotides) under Canis lupus familiaris (dog). RNAcentral describes it as "lncRNA (ENSCAFG00845012731.1)". The record is from RNAcentral. Lineage: Eukaryota; Metazoa; Chordata; Mammalia; Carnivora; Canidae.
CUGUUAUACAUUCUGUAGAUGUUGACCUACAAAGUUUAUCAAGCCAGACGCUCAAAGCACAGUGAUUUGGUGAAGAUGAGACAACCACAGAAGCCUGUGUCCUGGCCAGCCCAAGUGGAAGUUCUUUCUGAUAAAAGUUACAGAAAAUGCACUGGAGUCUGCACAUUGACUUAAUUUCUACGAAUAUGUGCUUAAGCAUCUACUGCCACAGAUGCCUCUUUCCGACAACAUUCUGUCCUUGUACAUUGUGGAAAUUGUACACCUUCUGCCUAUGAAGGUCUGUAUGACAAGCUGGCCUGUGCUACUCGCUGACAUCCCUGGUCCCAGGCAUCGUUCCCUGGAAAGCAGGCUCACGUGGAAGGGAAGAUUUCAAUCUUGGGGCUAUAUCUAUGCCAUGUAUGUAUUAAAGGAGAAUGCCAAUACCCCUGCAGACCGUGGAGGUGUCACUACUCUUGAAGAGACUGGGCACAAAGAACCACGCGGUGGAGGAUAAGGAACUCCAGUCCAUAUAAGCCAGGUGGCUGUCCCUGACCAGCUGUGUCGACGACCCAAUGCAAUUUCAUGAUGGAGUUUUCCAAGGACCCAACUCUUGGGUGUGGGUCUGCUCCCAGUUGGCUUCCAUGUCCAUACUUCAUCCACCACAGCAGGUGCCUGUGGCUCUAGAGGGUGGCUUGGAGGCCCCAGCAUUAGAAGGACUAGACCAUCAGGAGUAUCCUUGUCUAAUGGGAGAGAUGAAGGGACCGCUCCCCUGACCGUUUUUAAGAAGGGGUUCCCUUGCCUCCCUCCACAGGUGUGAUUACUUUACUAGAGAAGCUCACAGAACUGAGAGAAACACCUAUUUAUGUUUACCAGUUUAUUCAAGGAUAUGAUAAAGAUAGAGAUGAAGAGCUAGAUGGAGAUACAUAGGGUGAGGUCUGGGAGGGUCCUGUGUACAGCAGCU